GGCCACUAACUUUUUCAACACCAGGCCCAACUGAAUUCAAGGAAUAACAAUUAACCAUGAGAUGCACUAUGUUUGUAUGCAAGAAUGACGAAGUAAUCAGCCUCCAUAGUUGCCCUUUGUCAAUAAGACUGUUAAUCUUAGCUCCCCAAAAUAAAAGCUUGCCUUCUGUUGCGACUUGUGCAAUAUAUAUCAAUAUGUUAAGUGCAAGGAAUAUGUUGGUCCAUUUCCUUUCACUGGAAAAGAAUGAUCUUGAUGACUUUGAGUAUGAAUUCUGAAUCUUUCUAAAUUUCCUUCUACUUUCAUCAGCGCUGAAGAAUAAUAAGCUCAUGUCUUCGGCAGAGAAGACAUCCUGUGACCACUGAAGGAUGUUGAAUCCAGUGACAUGAAGGGUCCAUUUAUGACAUGCAUCCUUCAAUAUAGGGCCAUGAACAUGACAAAAGAUAUGCUUGAUAGAGGAUUGAAGACGACGGUGGAGGGCGUCGCCGAGGCGGAGAGCGGCGGCGUUGGUGAUGAUGUAGGUGGUUGUGGGACCCCAUGUGGAUACCGUCUGAUGAAAUUUGGGAUUGGAUGGAAGGGAUGCCCAACCCGCCAUUUCCA
RNAcentral lists this unclassified non-coding RNA (597 nucleotides) under Hevea brasiliensis (rubber tree). Lineage: Eukaryota; Viridiplantae; Streptophyta; Magnoliopsida; Malpighiales; Euphorbiaceae. The record is from RNAcentral.